AUGCUCACUUCGGUAGCACACUGACUAAAAUGGGAACGAUACAGAGAUUAGCAUGGCCUCUGCGCAAGGAUGAUGCAAAUUUGUGAAGUGUUCCCUAACAAC
This is a small nuclear RNA of Nannospalax galili (Upper Galilee mountains blind mole rat), 102 nucleotides long. NCBI's taxonomy places the organism in Eukaryota, Metazoa, Chordata, Mammalia, Rodentia, Spalacidae. The record is from Ensembl.